UACGUAGGUGGCGAGCGUUGUCCGGAUUUACUGGGCGUAAAGGGAGCGUAGGCGGACCUUUAAGUGAGAUGUGAAAUACUCGGGCUCAACUUGAGUGCUGCAUUUCAAACUGGAGGUCUAGAGUGCAGGAGAGGAGAAUGGAAUUCCUAGUGUAGCGGUGAAAUGCGUAGAGAUUAGGAAGAACACCAGUGGCGAAGGCGAUUCUCUGGACUGUAACUGACGCUGAGGCUCGAAAGCGUGGGGAGCAAACAGG
RNAcentral lists this ribosomal RNA (253 nucleotides) under uncultured bacterium. RNAcentral's name for it is "partial 16S ribosomal RNA". It matches the Rfam family "Bacterial small subunit ribosomal RNA", at positions 524 to 776 of the family's 1533-position model. The record is from RNAcentral.